AUGGCGACGAGGGUGUGGGCGGCGUCGGCGGCGGCCUUAAACCCCACUCUCCUCCCCCUCUCGUCUUCCCCACGUCCGAGCAGGCCCGCCCCCUCCACGCGGCCGAGCGGGCACCUCCGCCUGCGCAGCCGCCCGCCGCGGCCGGCCAGGGUCGUGUGCCGCCGCGCCAAGAACGCCGCCUUGGAGGACUACAAGUUCCCGGACCCCAUCCCCGAGUUCGCCGAGCAGGAGACGAGCAAGUUCAGGGAGCACAUGACGUGGCGGCUGGAGCAGAAGAAGGAGGAGUACUUCGGGGAGCACGUGGAGGACAUCGUCGACGUCUGCACCGAGGUCUUGAGCACUUUCUUGCAACAUGAGUACUGCGGACCCGGGACGCUCCUGGUUCACCCCUUCUUGGACAUGAAGGGCGAGAUCAAAGAGAGGGGCCUCCCCGGCGCGCCUCAGGCCGCGCGCGCCGCGAUCGCGUGGGCUGAGAAGAACAUCGACAAAGACUGGAAGGAGUGGACCGGAGAUUAUUAG
This 519-nucleotide ribosomal RNA is filed under the name Triticum aestivum (bread wheat). RNAcentral describes it as "partial small subunit ribosomal RNA". The record is from RNAcentral. Lineage: Eukaryota; Viridiplantae; Streptophyta; Magnoliopsida; Poales; Poaceae.